This 484-nucleotide ribosomal RNA is filed under the name uncultured bacterium. Its description in RNAcentral is "partial 16S ribosomal RNA". It matches the Rfam family "Bacterial small subunit ribosomal RNA", at positions 29 to 507 of the family's 1533-position model. The record is from RNAcentral.
AUUGAACGCUGGCGGCAUGCUUUACACAUGCAAGUCGAACGGCAGCGCGGGCUUCGGCCUGGCGGCGAGUGGCGAACGGGUGAGUAAUACAUCGGUACGUGCCCAGUAGUGGGGGAUAGCUCGGCGAAAGCCGGAUUAAUACCGCAUACGACCUGAGGGUGAAAGCGGGGGAUCUUCGGACCUCGCGCUAUUGGAGCGGCCGAUGGCAGAUUAGCUAGUUGGUGGGGUAAAGGCCUACCAAGGCGACGAUCUGUAGCUGGUCUGAGAGGACGACCAGCCACACUGGGACUGAGACACGGCCCAGACUCCUACGGGAGGCAGCAGUGGGGAAUUUUGGACAAUGGGCGAAAGCCUGAUCCAGCAAUGCCGCGUGUGUGAUGAAGGCCUUCGGGUUGUAAAGCACUUUUGGCGGGAACGAAAAGGGCUGUGCCAAUACCACGGUUCGAUGACGGUACCCGCAGAAUAAGCACCGGCUAACUACGUG